RNAcentral lists this ribosomal RNA (497 nucleotides) under uncultured bacterium. Its description in RNAcentral is "partial 16S ribosomal RNA". It matches the Rfam family "Bacterial small subunit ribosomal RNA", at positions 28 to 507 of the family's 1533-position model. The record is from RNAcentral.
GAUGAACGCUGGCGGCGUGCCUAAUACAUGCAAGUCGAGCGAACGGACGAGAAGCUUGCUUUUCUGAUGUUAGCGGCGGACGGGUGAGUAACACGUGGAUAACCUACCUAUAAGACUGGGAUAACUUCGGGAAACCGGAGCUAAUACCGGAUAAUAUAUUGAACCGCAUGGUUCAAUAGUGAAAGACGGUCUUGCUGUCACUUAUAGAUGGAUCCGCGCCGCAUUAGCUAGUUGGUAAGGUAACGGCUUACCAAGGCAACGAUGCAUAGCCGACCUGAGAGGGUGAUCGGCCACACUGGAACUGAGACACGGUCCAGACUCCUACGGGAGGCAGCAGUAGGGAAUCUUCCGCAAUGGGCGAAAGCCUGACGGAGCAACGCCGCGUGAGUGAUGAAGGUCUUCGGAUCGUAAAACUCUGUUAUUAGGGAAGAACAAAUGUGUAAGUAACUAUGCACGUCUUGACGGUACCUAAUCAGAAAGCCACGGCUAACUACGUG